Molecule: ribosomal RNA, 699 nt
Filed under: uncultured Actinomycetes bacterium
Lineage: Bacteria; Bacillati; Actinomycetota; Actinomycetes
Description: bacterial SSU rRNA
Rfam family: Bacterial small subunit ribosomal RNA
Source: RNAcentral
AACACAUGCAAGUCGAGCGGUAAGGCCCUUUCGGGGGUACACGAGCGGCGAACGGGUGAGUAACACGUGAGUAAUCUGCCCUUCACUUCGGGAUAAGCCUCGGAAACGGGGUCUAAUACCGGAUACGACACUUUUACGCAUGUAAUGGGUGUGGAAAGUUUUUUCGGUGGGGGAUGUGCUCGCGGCCUAUCAGCUUGUUGGUGGGGUAAUGGCCUACCAAGGCUUCGACGGGUAGCCGGCCUGAGAGGGUGACCGGCCACACUGGGACUGAGACACGGCCCAGACUCCUACGGGAGGCAGCAGUGGGGAAUAUUGGACAAUGGGCGGAAGCCUGAUCCAGCAACGCCGCGUGAGGGAUGACGGCCUUCGGGUUGUAAACCUCUUUCAGCGGGGACGAAGCGCAAGUGACGGUACCCGCAGAAGAAGCACCGGCCAACUACGUGCCAGCAGCCGCGGUAAUACGUAGGGUGCGAGCGUUGUCCGGAAUUAUUGGGCGUAAAGGGCUCGUAGGCGGUUUGUCGCGUCGGGAGUGAAAACGCCGGGCUUAACUCGGUGCUUGCUUUCGAUACGGGCAGACUAGAGGCAUGCAGGGGAGAACGGAAUUCCUGGUGUAGCGGUGAAAUGCGCAGAUAUCAGGAGGAACACCGGUGGCGAAGGCGGUUCUCUGGGGCAUGUCCUGACGCUGAGGAGCGAAAGUGU